This 321-nucleotide ribosomal RNA is filed under the name Triticum aestivum (bread wheat). RNAcentral's name for it is "partial small subunit ribosomal RNA". Lineage: Eukaryota; Viridiplantae; Streptophyta; Magnoliopsida; Poales; Poaceae. The record is from RNAcentral.
GCAGGCCGCCGCGUUCUCGUACGCUGCGUGCUAUCUGCCAUGCCAACCUUCACGUUCACGGCGCUGCGAAUACCAAAGAAGUUCAUAAAGGAGAUCGACAAGUCAAGACGGCGCUUCCUCUGGGUGGGAGACGAAGAAAUCUCGGGCGGCAAAUGCAAGGUUCGCUGGGCAUCAGUGACCAAGCCGGAGCAACUGGGCGGACUGGGCAUCCCUGACCUCAGCCGUUUUGCCCGGGGCUCUACGGAUGCGCUGGCUAUGGCUCUCCUGGAGGCAGCCAACCAGGCCCUGGGUUGGCACCGGGACGCCAUGCGACGCUGCUGA